Molecule: ribosomal RNA, 1569 nt
Filed under: metagenome
Description: SSU rRNA
Rfam family: Eukaryotic small subunit ribosomal RNA
Source: RNAcentral
CGCUAGCACACGCUGGCGAUGUUACAAACGAGUUUCUGACCUAUCAACUUUAGAUGGCAGAGUAGGGGUUUGCCAUGGUGACAACGGGUGACGGGGAAUUAGGGUUCGAUUCCGGAGAGGGAGCCUGAGAAACGGCUACCACUUCCAAGGAAGGCAGCAGGCGCGCAAAUUACCCAAUACCAAUUCGGUGAGGUAGUGACAAGAAAUACCAAUGUAGGACACAACGUGUACUACGUUUGGAAUGAGUACAAUUUAAAAACCUUAACGAGGAACAAUUGGAGGGCAAGUCUGGUGCCAGCAGCCGCGGUAAUUCCAGCUCCAAUAGUGUAUAUUAAAGUUGCUGCGGUUAAAAAGCUCGUAGUUGGAUUUCGGAUCGCACGAGGUUAGAGCCCAUCCUUAGGGGUGCGUGCUCGGCUUCUGCUUCCUACCUUCUGGUAACGCCAGAUCCCUCUUCGCGGGGGGGUUUGGAGGUUCCGGAUCGUUUACUUUGAAAAAAUUAGAGUGUUCAAAGCAGGCGUAACUUGCAUUCGAAUACAUUAGCAUGGGAUAAUAGAAUACGACUUUGGUCUUAUUUUGUUGGUUUCUAAGGCCGAAGUAAUGAUUGAUAGGGAUAGUUGGGGCCGCUCGUAUUGAGUUGUCAGAGGUGAAAUUCUAGGAUUUACUCAAGACGAACUAAUGCGAAAGCAUUCGGCAAGGAUGUUUUCAUUAAUCAAGAACGAAAGUUGGGGGAUCGAAGAUGAUUAGAUACCGUCGUAGUCUCAACCAUAAACUAUGUCGACCGAGGAUCCGGUAGCGUUACAUGGAUGACCUUCCAGGCACUCUGUGAGAAAUCACAAGUAUUUGGAUUUCGGGGGGAGUAUGGUCGCAAGGCUGAAACUUAAAGGGAUUGACGGAAGGGCACCACCAGGAGUGGAAUCUGCGGCUUAAUUUGACCCAACACGGGAAAACUUACCAGGUCCGAACACAGUGAGGAUUGACAGAUUGAGAGCUCUUUCUUGAUUCUGUGGGUGGUGGUGCAUGGCCGUUUUUAGUUGGUGGAGUGAUUUGUCUGGUUAAUUCCGUUAACGAACGAGACCUUAACCUAUUAAAUAGUUGUGCAAACUCGGUUCUUCCGAGCCAUUUUGGUUUCGGCCAGAGUGGUGAGUGGAACCGUCAACGUUUGCAAGGACUUCUUAGAGGGACUCUUCGCAUAUAUAGCGAAUGGAAGUUUGAGGCAAAAACAGGUCUGUGAUGCCCUUCGAUGUUCUGGGCUGCACGCGCGUUACACUGACGCAUGCAACGAGCUUUCCUGGCCCGAUGGGGUUGGGUAAUCUUUUUAAAGUGCGUCGUGAUGGGGAUAGAACAUUGCAAUUAUUGUUCUUGAACGAGGAAUUCCUAGUAAUUGCAGGUCAACAACCUGCGAUGAUUACGUCCCUGCCCUUUGUACACACCGCCCGUCGCUCCUACCGAUGUUUGAACCGAUGAGGACUCGGGACAUUCGGGGUUCCCGGUCGGCUGAAAGGUCGAUCGCCCCGGUUGGAACUUGUUCAAAUCUUUUCAAGUAGAGGAAGGAGAAGUCGUAACAAGGUU